Molecule: ribosomal RNA, 499 nt
Filed under: uncultured bacterium
Lineage: Bacteria
Description: partial 16S ribosomal RNA
Rfam family: Bacterial small subunit ribosomal RNA
Source: RNAcentral
GAUGAACGCUGGCGGCGUGCCUAAUACAUGCAAGUCGAGCGAACAGACGAGAGUGCUUGCACUCUCUGACGUUAGCGGCGGACGGGUGAGUAACACGUGGGUAACCUACCUAUAAGACUGGGAUAACUUCGGGAAACCGGAGCUAAUACCGGAUAAUAUUUAGCUUCGCAUGAAGCAAUAGUGAAAGACGGUUCUGCUGUCACUUAUAGAUGGACCCGCGGUGUAUUAGCUAGUUGGUGAGGUAACGGCUCACCAAGGCAACGAUACAUAGCCGACCUGAGAGGGUGAUCGGCCGCACUGGGACUGAGACACGGCCCAGACUCCUACGGGAGGCAGCAGUAGGGAAUCUUCCGCAAUGGACGAAAGUCUGACGGAGCAAUGCCGCGUGAGUGAAGAAGGUUUUCGGAUCGUAAAACUCUGUUGUAAGGGAAGAACAAGUACGUUAGUAACUGAACGUACCUUGACGGUACCUUACCAGAAAGCCACGGCUAACUACGUG